UCAACACGACUCGUUUAUUACCAAACAAGUAUGUACUAUGUAGUAUCAUGUUAUCAACUAUUUGAAUUGCAUAAACAUCUCUUACAUUUUAACUUUAAUUUUGAUAUUGAUGACCAUUAAUUAACUAGUUAUGACAUAAAUUUUAGGCCACAUUACAAUGUCAAUAUGACAACAGUUCAAGUUUGGUCUGAAUUUCUAAAUCUAACAACAAAUGUAUCACAUGCUAGAGACUAUAAAGAGACAAUAAUUGACAGUGGUACAAUUUUGGCUUACUUCCCAGAUGCUAUAUACCAGGCAUUAGUGAAGAAGAUUCUCUGGCAGCUUGAUAUAAAGUUACAAACCCUUCAUGAGUAGUAUACAUGAUUUCAGCACCCUGGAAGUGUGGAUAAUGAUUUUCCUACUAUCACCUUUCAUUUGGAAAAUUUAGUCCUCUUGAAAGUGUAUCCUAAUGAGUAUAUCUUCCUCUUUAUAAGUAUCUUCCCUUGUUCAGACUGCUCAAUAACAUGAUUAUUAUGCUUUUGAGGCUACUUUACAAAUCAGAUGUUGUUACUUUGUAAUCCUAGUACAGUUGUGUGAAGUUAAGGCUUUCAGGUUUUUCUGUACUGCAUAGUUUAUGUUGU
Impatiens glandulifera is the source of this 620-nucleotide long non-coding RNA. RefSeq lists it as uncharacterized. The transcript has 3 exons. The record is from RefSeq and is a predicted model, not a curated record. NCBI's taxonomy places the organism in Eukaryota, Viridiplantae, Streptophyta, Magnoliopsida, Ericales, Balsaminaceae.